Long non-coding RNA from Ailuropoda melanoleuca (giant panda), 566 nucleotides. RefSeq lists it as uncharacterized. Lineage: Eukaryota; Metazoa; Chordata; Mammalia; Carnivora; Ursidae. The transcript has 3 exons. The record is from RefSeq and is a predicted model, not a curated record.
AGAACGGAAGGGCGGGACCGCCUGGCCGCAGCCCGGCCCUGCGCGGCAGACGGUGCCUACACCUGCUGGGGAGAGCGCGGCAGGAGAGCGGCGCGGAGCGGGGGCCCAGAAUAUGGCUGCUAUUUGUUUAGGACCCGCCCGGUGUGUUCUAGGCGCGCUCCAGCCUACGCUGCAAGGUGUCUCUCGCAGUCCUGGUUUCGCAUAGGAGGAAACGGAAAUUCAGAGAAGUAAAGUAACUUGCCCAAGGUCACGCAGGACUGGGACUGAAUCCAGGAAUUAGGCCCUGUCAGAUUCCAAGGCUGCUUUUUCCGUUACACCAACACAGCCUCUAUUUCGAGGCCUGAAGUGGUUAAAAACAAAAAUAAGUAUUGCCUCAGUAUUCAUCCAAGUCCCUAUGUCCCGUUCGAGUCACAUUCACAGUGUUCGCGUAAACUGUAAAGCAGCAACCACCACAAACUGACAAGAGACUUAUUAAGACUGAGGCAAAGCUGAGAGUAAGUACACAGGACAGAGCUAAAUCGUGGAAGGAGCCGAGAUGCCCUUCAACAGAUGACUGGAUUAAGAAG